CUACGGGCGGCAGCAGUGGGGAAUAUUGCACAAUGGGGGAAACCCUGAUGCAGCAACACCGCGUGGAGGAUGACACUUUUCGGAGCGUAAACUCCUUUUAUAUAGGAAGAUAAUGACGGUACUAUAUGAAUAAGCACCGGCUAACUCCGUGCCAGCAGCCGCGGUAAUAGCGGAGGGUGCAAGCGUUACUCGGAAUCACUGGGCGUAAAGAGCGUGUAGGCGGGUUAAUAAGUCAGAAGUGAAAUCCAAUGGCUCAACCAUUGAACUGCUUUUGAAACUGUUAACCUAGAAUAUGGGAGAGGUAGAUGGAAUUUCUGGUGUAGGGGUAAAAUCCGUAGAGAUCAGAAGGAAUACCGAUUGCGAAGGCGAUCUACUGGAACAUUAUUGACGCUGAGACGCGAAAGCGUGGGGAGCAAACAGGAUUAGAUACCCUUGUAGUC
RNAcentral lists this ribosomal RNA (440 nucleotides) under uncultured bacterium. RNAcentral's name for it is "partial 16S ribosomal RNA". It matches the Rfam family "Bacterial small subunit ribosomal RNA", at positions 339 to 795 of the family's 1533-position model. The record is from RNAcentral.